UUCCAGACUCCUACGGGAGGCAGCAGUGGGGGAUAUUGGACAAUGGGGGAAACCCUGAUCCAGCGACGCCGCGUGAGUGAAGAAGUAUUUCGGUAUGUAAAGCUCUGUCAGCAGGGAAGAAAGAAAUGACGGUACCUGACCAAGAAGCCCCGGCUAACUACGUGCCAGCAGCCGCGGUAAUACGUAGGGGGCAAGCGUUAUCCGGAUUUACUGGGUGUAAAGGGAGCGUAGACGGUGCAGCAAGUCUGAUGUGAAUGGUCGGGGCCCAACCCCGGGACUGCAUUGGAAACUGUUGAACUGGAGUACAGGGGAGGUAAGCGGAAUUCCUAGUGUAGCGGUGAAAUGCGUAGAUAUUAGGAGGAACACCAGUGGCGAAGGCGGCCUGCUGGGCUUUAACUGACGCUGAGGCUCGAAAGCGUGGGGAGCAAACAGGAUUAGAUACCCUUGUAC
Molecule: ribosomal RNA, 450 nt
Filed under: uncultured bacterium
Lineage: Bacteria
Description: bacterial SSU rRNA
Rfam family: Bacterial small subunit ribosomal RNA
Source: RNAcentral